GAUGAACGCUGGCGGCGUGCCUAAUACAUGCAAGUCGAGCGAACAGACGAGGAGCUUGCUCCUCUGACGUUAGCGGCGGACGGGUGAGUAACACGUGGAUAACCUACCUAUAAGACUGGGAUAACUUCGGGAAACCGGAGCUAAUACCGGAUAAUAUAUUGAACCGCAUGGUUCAAUAGUGAAAGACGGUUUUGCUGUCACUUAUAGAUGGAUCCGCGCCGCAUUAGCUAGUUGGUAAGGUAACGGCUUACCAAGGCAACGAUGCGUAGCCGACCUGAGAGGGUGAUCGCCCACACUGGAACUGAGACACGGUCCAGACUCCUACGAGAGGCAGCAGUAGGGAAUCUUCCGCAAUGGGCGAAAGCCUGACGGAGCAACGCCGCGUGAGUGAUGAAGGUCUUCGGAUCGUAAAACUCUGUUAUUAGGGAAGAACAAAUGUGUAAGUAACUAUGCACGUCUUGACGGUACCUAAUCAGAAAGCCACGGCUAACUACGUG
RNAcentral lists this ribosomal RNA (497 nucleotides) under uncultured bacterium. Its description in RNAcentral is "partial 16S ribosomal RNA". It matches the Rfam family "Bacterial small subunit ribosomal RNA", at positions 28 to 507 of the family's 1533-position model. The record is from RNAcentral.